RNAcentral lists this ribosomal RNA (794 nucleotides) under uncultured bacterium. RNAcentral's name for it is "bacterial SSU rRNA". It matches the Rfam family "Bacterial small subunit ribosomal RNA", at positions 8 to 796 of the family's 1533-position model. The record is from RNAcentral.
AGAGUUUGAUCAUGGCUCAGAUUGAACGCUGGCGGCAUGCUUUACACAUGCAAGUCGAGCGGCAGCGNNNGGCAACCUGGCGGCGAGCGGCGGACGGGUGAGUAAUACAUCGGAACGUAUCCUUGAGUGGGGGACAACCCAGCGAAAGCUGGGCUAAUACCGCAUACGCUCUAAGGAGGAAAGUGGGGGACCUGCAGGGGCCUCACGCUGAAGGGGCGGCCGAUGUCCGAUUAGCUAGUUGGUGGGGUAAAGGCCUACCAAGGCGACGAUCGGUAGCUGGUCUGAGAGGAUGAUCAGCCACACUGGGACUGAGACACGGCCCAGACUCCUACGGGAGGCAGCAGUGGGGAAUUUUGGACAAUGGGGGCAACCCUGAUCCAGCCAUGCCGCGUGCGGGAAGAAGGCCUUCGGGUUGUAAACCGCUUUUGGUCGGGAAGAAAAGGUUUCUCCUAAUAGGGGGGACUGUUGACGGUACCGGCAGAAUAAGCACCGGCUAACUACGUGCCAGCAGCCGCGGUAAUACGUAGGGUGCGAGCGUUAAUCGGAAUUACUGGGCGUAAAGCGUGCGCAGGCGGUUGGUCGUGUCCUGUGUGAAAGCCCCGGGCUUAACCUGGGAAUGGCAUGGGAGUACUGGCCGGCUGGAGUGUGGCAGAGGGGGGUGGAAUUCCGCGUGUAGCAGUGAAAUGCGUAGAGAUGCGGAGGAACACCGAUGGCGAAGGCAGCCCCCUGGGCUGACACUGACGCUCAGGCACGAAAGCGUGGGGAGCAAACAGGAUUAGAUACCCUAGUAGUCC